UGUAAAGAGUCUAUAGGUGUCUUUUCAAGUCCAUCAUCAAAUCUACGGCUCAACCUUGGAUAGACGGUAGAAACUAUCAAGCUGGAGUAUGGUAAGGGCAUAGGGAAUUCCUGGUGGAGUGGUGAAAUGCAUUGAGAUCGGAAAGAACACCAAUGGAGAAAGCACUUUAUUAGGAAAUACACACAUACAAAAGCUACAAGAGCAAAUGGGAUUAGAGACCCUGAUAGUCCUAUCUGAUGGAUACUAGAUGUUGUGCCACUCCACCCAUGCAAGUGUCUACA
This 281-nucleotide non-coding RNA is filed under the name Setaria italica (foxtail millet). RNAcentral describes it as "Bacterial small subunit ribosomal RNA". It matches the Rfam family "Bacterial small subunit ribosomal RNA", at positions 559 to 851 of the family's 1533-position model. The record is from Rfam by way of RNAcentral. Lineage: Eukaryota; Viridiplantae; Streptophyta; Magnoliopsida; Poales; Poaceae.